Long non-coding RNA from Alosa alosa (allis shad), 516 nucleotides. RefSeq lists it as uncharacterized. The transcript has 3 exons. Lineage: Eukaryota; Metazoa; Chordata; Actinopteri; Clupeiformes; Clupeidae. The record is from RefSeq and is a predicted model, not a curated record.
CCAGGUUCCGCAACCCACCAGUUAAGAAACACUGGCUAAGGCCAUGGAUUGGUUGUGAGGAGUACAAACUUCAGACAUCUCUGCCUUGGGAUCUUCCACAUGACCUGUCUUGCAAGUGGAACAGAGAACUCGACUGACUGGUGUUGAUGAACUAAUGACUGUCAUCAGUCCCUGCUGAGGAAAUGGAUUCUGGUGUGAGUGCGAGUGAGUGUGGCUGUGGGAGGCAAUACAACAUGAAGAUUUCUUGCAGCUUCUCAAAUCUGGCCUGGUCUUUAGACUGAAGGCAAGCCAGUGGUACAGGUAAGCACAGUAAGUGGUUGAGCAUGCAUACCAAUUAACAUGGUGGUGCAGCACGUCAUGCUUCAGUUCAGUGUGCGGUGGCAACUCCGCAAGUGGAACCGCCUUUGGAACAUCAACACGGUGAACGUGACACGUUGCUUCGAGCCAGAUGGCAUCCCUCUGGUUGGUGUUGGGAGGUAUAGUGCAUGUAUUCACAGCGCUUCACUUUUUCCACAU